UUCUCUCGCCCUCCCACCUCCGCCUGGAUCCCGGGACCAGCCCAGCCGCUGCCGCCUCAGCUGUCCCUUCAAAGUGGCCCUGGGCCCCGUCCGAGGAAGCAGAGGCCACCGCAAGCUUCCCGCCCUUCCUUCCUUCCUGCCUCCGCCACCGGCCUCCCCUAGCGGCUCAAUUUCGCAGUCUCGUCGGCUCCCAUCCCGCCGGCGCCCGCCCCGCCAUCUUCCUUCGCUCCCUCCCUUUUGCCCGAGAACACCCCCCCCCCCCUCUGUCCGCCUCCACUCCGCCCUUCUGCUGCUGAGGCUGCGGCUGCAGCUUCGGGAGGCCCGCUUGGAAGCCGUCUGGGUUUCCCGGACAAGCCGGCGGGCUGGGGAGGCUCCCUCGGAAAGAAAAAGUUCGUAUGGAGAAUAGACCUUUACAGCAUCGGACUUUCCUUUCACCACCAGAUGCAUCCACAACUGAAUGUCCUUUCAGCUUUGACCAAGUCGUUUCACUCUUUCUGGCGCUACUAGUAAUACUGUAGCCCUCUGCUCUUCCCCAGAAGCAUAUUGGACACCUCCCAACCUGAGGGGCUCAUCUUCCAGCGUCAUAUCUUUUUUCCAUUUGGUACCGUCCAUGGGGUUUUCAUGGCAAAGAUACUGUAGUGGGUUGCCAUUUCCUUCUCCGGUGCAUCAUGUUUUGUCAGAGCACUCUGCUAUGACAUGUCCGGCAUAGCUCAUAGCUUCAUUGAGCUACGCAAGCCCCUUCGCCACAACAAGGCAGUAAUCCAAGAAGGGGGAACAAAAUAUUGGCACCCUCUUAAUCGAAGGUCUACCCUGUAUAAAUCACAUGGAAAGAGUGCUGCUAACGAGUCUGACUGGUUUAAGGUGUGGUGUACUUCAAAUAUACUGAAGGAGCACAGAUCAAUAAUUCUGGACAAAGAAUGCCGUUUAAGCCAUGCAGAAGAAUGUAGAUGUUCAUUGAAGAAAUUAGAAGUCAUUUCAUUCUGCUUCUCUAAUGCCUUUGUGAUCUGUAACUCCAUUAAAUAUUCCUUCCAUAUCAAUGUCAUUAAUGAAAAUGUUGAAAGGGUUGAAUCUUACAAAAUCACAUUUAAUACAUCACCACUUUGAUGAGAUCAAUGUUGACAAACAUUGUGAUUUGAAGCCAACUCUGUUGCCAUGUCAUCCGGUACAUGCUUAACUAGUUUGCUAAUCAUAAUGUCACAAGUUACUGUAUUUUUAAAAUGCUUUUUGCAGAUGAAAUAUUCUACAUAUAUAUCAUUCCCCAAUCUAAAUUUCUUAAUUUUGUUAAAUAAAUUUAUUUUCAUCUGUUUAUUUUACCAAAUCCAUUGACUUUGAUAAUUAUGGCAUUGUUUUCAAGGUGUGAAUAGUUUAGUGUGUUUAGAAUACCAUGAUUUGAACAAUUUGUCCAGUGUUUUCCAAAAAGUCUUAUCUGUGUGUGUAAGAUCAUUGUUGCCCAUAUUGUACCUUGUAGGUCCAUAAAUGAUGACCAGGCUUCAUUUCAAAGAAGUUCUUCAUGCAUUUAUCUUAUAGAGGAAAAGUGUCAAAUGAUGAGGAAAUAUUAAUUCAUAUAAUCUGCAGCACGUAGAUCAUAUACAUUUUUGUAUUAAUAUAUGUCAAAUAACAAUUUUCUUAAUAUAAACAGGAUUUUAUCGUGUGUGUGUGUGUGUGUGUGUAAAAAACAUCUAAAAUUAUUUCCAAUUCUAUUAAAGAUCUUCAAUUCUGUUAAAAAUUGUGUUUUGAGACCAAAGUCAAAGUUCAGGUCUUGAAUUUCAAAGAAGAAAUGGCUUGAUAUCUGGAUAUCUAAAGGAGUGCCUUUUCCCAUAUCAAUCAUCUCACUGAUAAAAGGAACAGUUUAAAUAAAUGAAACAUGGAGGUAGAGUAGAUCAUGUUAGCAGGUGGUCCUUUAACACUUGAUGUAAUUUGUCUGAUCCUUUUCUUUUUUAUUAGGAAUCUCUUAAUGUGUUGAGAUUGUAAAUGGGAUUUUACAUUUGGGAAAUUUGUAAAUUUAACACUAGUUUUCAUAUUAUAUUACAAGUUCACUUACACAGGACUCGUGUAUAGUCCAUUUUUCUUUUUGUUAACUACUUAAUCAUUUCUCUUGAAAACAGACCAUGAGAUGAGAAAGAUACGAUGGUACUGUCAGGGUUCCAACCUGACAGAUUAAUUAAUUAAAUCAUGAGCUAUUCCUCAGUUAUUCAUGUGAAUAAGCUCCAUACAAUACAAUAUUGUACUACUUUUUGAUUAAUAACUGUAUUUUACAUAUAGUGUAUACAAAGGACUAAAUGUAGGCUGUUCAAAGAGAAGUAAUAAUGUAACUGAAAAAUCAGACAGAUAACUGUCUUUCAAAGCUUUCCUGUGCUUAUAUGUGAAAUGUAAAUCAACAUGGAAACAUUGUAAUUAAUAUAUUAAAGAUGUAUACAUACUUGU
Pantherophis guttatus is the source of this 2424-nucleotide non-coding RNA. The record is from RefSeq and is a predicted model, not a curated record. NCBI's taxonomy places the organism in Eukaryota, Metazoa, Chordata, Lepidosauria, Squamata, Colubridae.